RNAcentral lists this ribosomal RNA (429 nucleotides) under Acidobacteriota bacterium. RNAcentral's name for it is "Acidobacteria bacterium partial 16S ribosomal RNA". It matches the Rfam family "Bacterial small subunit ribosomal RNA", at positions 355 to 776 of the family's 1533-position model. The record is from RNAcentral. Lineage: Bacteria; Pseudomonadati; Acidobacteriota.
UGGGGAAUUUUGGACAAUGGGGGAAACCCUGAUCCAGCCAUCCCGCGUGUGCGAUGAAGGCCUUCGGGUUGUAAAGCACUUUUGGCAGGAAAGAAACGUCAUGGGUUAAUACCCCGUGAAACUGACGGUACCUGCAGAAUAAGCACCGGCUAACUACGUGCCAGCAGCCGCGGUAAUACGUAGGGUGCAAGCGUUAAUCGGAAUUACUGGGCGUAAAGCGUGCGCAGGCGGUUCGGAAAGAAAGAUGUGAAAUCCCAGAGCUCAACUUUGGAACUGCAUUUUGAACUACCGGGCUAGAGUGUGUCAGAGGGAGGUGGAAUUCCGCGUGUAGCAGUGAAAUGCAUAGAUAUGCGGAGGAACACCGAUGGCGAAGGCAGCCUCCUGGGAUAACACUGACGCUCAUGCACGAAAGCGUGGGGAGCAAACAGG